AGUGAACGCUGGCGGUAGGCCUAACACAUGCAAGUCGAACGGCAGCACAGUAAGAGCUUGCUCUUACGGGUGGCGAGUGGCGGACGGGUGAGGAAUACAUCGGAAUCUACUUUUUCGUGGGGGAUAACGUAGGGAAACUUACGCUAAUACCGCAUACGACCUACGGGUGAAAGCAGGAGAUCUUCGGACCUUGCGCGAUUGAAUGAGCCGAUGUCGGAUUAGCUAGUUGUCGGGGUAAAGGCCCACCAAGGCGACGAUCCGUAGCUGGUCUGAGAGGGUGAUCAGCCACACUGGAACUGAGACACGGUCCAGACUCCUACGGGAGGCAGCAGUGGGGAAUAUUGGACAAUGGGGGCAAGCCUGAUCCAGCCAUACCGAGUGGGUGAAGAAGACCUUCGGGUUGUAAAGCCCUUUUGUUGGGAAAGAAAAGCAGCAGGUUAAUACCCCGCUGUUCUGACGGUACCCAAAGAAUAAGCACCGGCUAACUUCGUG
RNAcentral lists this ribosomal RNA (492 nucleotides) under uncultured bacterium. Its description in RNAcentral is "partial 16S ribosomal RNA". It matches the Rfam family "Bacterial small subunit ribosomal RNA", at positions 29 to 507 of the family's 1533-position model. The record is from RNAcentral.